Molecule: ribosomal RNA, 856 nt
Filed under: Chytridiomycota sp. LLSB9_1 PML-2011p
Lineage: Eukaryota; Fungi; Chytridiomycota
Description: eukaryotic LSU rRNA
Rfam family: Eukaryotic large subunit ribosomal RNA
Source: RNAcentral
GCUCAAAUUUGAAAUCUCCUUGGCCCAGCUCCAAGGCGAAUUGUAGUUUAAAGAAGCGCCUUCCACCAGGCCGCAUUGGUUCAAGUUCCUUGGAACAGGACAUCAUAGAGGGUGAGAAUCCCGUGAUUGAUCAAUGCUUGCGCCUGGGUUGCGAUGCGCUCUCCAAGAGUCGGUUUGUUUGGGAAUGCAGACCAAAAUGGGUGGUAAAUACCAUCUAAAGCUAAAUAUGGGCGAGAGACCGAUAGCGAACAAGUACCGUGAGGGAAAGAUGAAAAGAACUUUGAAAAGAGAGUUAAAUAGUACGUGAAAUUGUCAAAAGGGAAGCGCUUGAAACCAGUCAUGCCUCCGCGUCAAUCAGCCAGGGCCCUGCCCUGGUGCACUUGGCGUGCUUGAGGCAAGUCAACAUCAGUUUGGGAGGUGGCAGACGGGGAUUGGGGGAAUGUAGCUAAAGGCCCUAGGUCUUUGGUGUUAUAGCCCGGUGAUCCACCCACCAUCAACCAGACUGAGGACUGCAGCGAUUCAGGGGGGGCACGGUCGUCUUGGUCCCUUGGGCCGGCUAAACAACCUAGUUGAUUACCGACCAAGCGGGCCUGGUCCGGCUUGUCCCACCACUUGUACGCUUGGGAUGUUGACGAAAUGGUUUUAAACGACCCGUCUUGAAACACGGACCAAGGAGUCUAGCAAGUCUGCGAGUAUUUGGGUGUGUUAAACCCUUGUGCGCAAUGAAAGUGAACUCUUGGUGGGAUGGCGUGGCCCGCCUGGCCGCGCUUGCACCAUCGACCGGUCAGGAUUCUUUGAUGAUAGAUCUGAGUAGGAGCAUACUUGCUGGGACCCGAAAGAUGGUGAACUAUGCCUG